RNAcentral lists this unclassified non-coding RNA (406 nucleotides) under soil metagenome. Its description in RNAcentral is "partial contains 5.8S ribosomal RNA, internal transcribed spacer 2, and large subunit ribosomal RNA". The stretch from base 1 to 121 matches the Rfam family "5.8S ribosomal RNA", at positions 35 to 154 of the family's 154-position model. The record is from RNAcentral.
GAUGAAGAACGCAGCGAAAUGCGAUAAGUAAUGUGAAUUGCAGAAUUCAGUGAAUCAUCGAAUCUUUGAACGCACCUUGCGCCCUUUGGCCAUCCCGAAGGGCAUGCCUGUUUGAGUAUCAUGAACACCUCAACUCUUCAUGGUUUUCCGUGAUGAGCUUGGACUUUGGGGGUCUUGCUGGCCUAUGGUCAGCUCCUCUAAAAUAAAUCAGCUUGCCAGUGUUUGGUGGGUAUCACAGGUGUGAUAACUAUCUACGCUUGUGGUUUUCCACCAGGUAACCUUCAGCAGUGGAGGUUCGCUGGAGCUCACAGAUGUGUCUCUCCUCAGUGAGGACAGCUCUUUGAAUGUUUGAUCUCAAAUCAGGUAGGACUACCCGCUGAACUUAAGCAUAUCAAUAAGCGGAGGA